AACGAACGCUGGCGGCAUGCCUAACACAUGCAAGUCGAACGAAACCUUCGGGUCUAGUGGCGCACGGGUGCGUAACGCGUGGGAACCUGCCCUUAGGUUCGGAAUAACUCCCCGAAAGGGGUGCUAAUACCGGAUAAUGUCUUCGGACCAAAGAUUUAUCGCCUUUGGAUGGGCCCGCGUUGGAUUAGCUAGUUGGUAGGGUAAAAGCCUACCAAGGCGACGAUCCAUAGCUGGUCUGAGAGGAUGAUAAGCCACACUGGGAAUGAGACACGGCCCAGACUCCUACGGGAGGCAGCAGUGGGGAAUAUUGGACGAUGGGGGAAAGCCUGACAAAGCAAUGCCGGGCGAGUGAUGAAGGGGUUAGGGUUGUAAAGCUCUUUUACCCGGGAUGAUAAUGACAGUACCGGGAGAAUAAGCACCGGCUAACUACGUG
This 433-nucleotide ribosomal RNA is filed under the name uncultured bacterium. RNAcentral describes it as "partial 16S ribosomal RNA". It matches the Rfam family "Bacterial small subunit ribosomal RNA", at positions 29 to 507 of the family's 1533-position model. The record is from RNAcentral.